RNAcentral lists this ribosomal RNA (240 nucleotides) under uncultured eukaryote. RNAcentral's name for it is "partial 18S ribosomal RNA". It matches the Rfam family "Eukaryotic small subunit ribosomal RNA", at positions 1208 to 1456 of the family's 1831-position model. The record is from RNAcentral.
GGGAACCUCACCCGGCCCGGACACCGCGAGGAUUGACAGACUGAGAGCUCUUUCUCGAUUCGGUGGGUGGUGGUGCAUGGCCGUUCUUAGUUGGUGGAGCGAUCUGUCUGGUUAAUUCCGAUAACGAACGAGACCCCAACCUGCUAACUAGCCCUCGGGUCCUGCUUCUGUUGGGCCCGACGGAAUGAUUCGCUUCUUAGAGGGACUCGCGCCGCCUAGCCGCACGAAGGGGGGCGAUAA